GGAUGUGCUGGGCCUGACCAGCCGCCCGCUUUCCUCUUCUCUUGCCUCUGCCUGCCCCCUGGUGGACAGCUGGGGUAAAGCAUGGGAGUGCGCCUUUGGGGUCUCAGUGGGGCUGAAAUACGACUCCUCCCCUAGGACAGCCUGCCUUCCCCAGCCUUGUUCUCCGGCAAAGUCAAUUUCCUGGAGAAUCGAGGCUCUGCCUCAGAUGUUCGGAGCCUCCGCAGGAUGAACACCUCCAUUUCAAUUCCAGGGGCUUUGAUCAACCUGUGCCUCCCUUGAUCCCCAACUUGUGGGCACCUUCCCUUGAGCAGUGCCCCCACGAGGUACACCUUUCCCGGGAAACAAAAAUCAUUCCUUCUUUGGGUCCUGCAAGCUGUAAAGAACCAAUACAGCACUGUGCUACUGAACAUGUUGCCACUAUAGAAGCCCCUUGUGUUUUGAAGAGUACAUCUCUAUAGCCAUUCGUUUAUUCAUCAGAAACCAGCUAGAAGCCAGGCCCUGUGCUGGGCGCUGGAGACAUGGAAGAAACUGGGCUGAGGCUCCCGCCUUGAAGAGCUUGUGGCCCAGGGAAGGGACAGUUCAUCUGUCAUUGAUUGCCACGUGACAGUGUCUAUGAUGCUAAAAAGAUGCCAGUGCUGUGCUGCAGGAGCAAAGGCCGUGGAGGAAGAGGCUUUGGCUUUGUUGCGAGUCCUUGCCAGAGCCAGGCAAAGCCAGUCACCGCUUUGUUCAGAUGACUCAGGUAAAUAAAUGAGGCCGCACAGGCUGUCCUGACACCACACACCUCUAGAAUACCCUGGCUGUGCUGGGAGCUAUUGGUGUCAGCUGAGUAUUUUCAUCCCUGUCCAAGUCACAAUGAUCUGACUGUACCAGCCUGUGUGGAUGUUGCUAAGAGGAGGCAGACAGCACCAUGAGCUCCCUUAGAUGACGAUCGGCAUGAUGUUCCUGCUGUGGCAGCGCUCAGCUCUUGCCAAUGCUCUUCUCUGCUUUGCUCACUUUAAGCCUCCCUUAAUUUUUUUGAAGCCCAGUUUCCACAUUGCUGAUUCACAGAUAUGCAAGACUCAGGCAGGAAAAAAAAAGUGUCUCCUUUUCCAGACUUCUUAGAGGACUUGGAAAGAAAAUGAAAUGACGUUGAACGAAAUCAAAGUAAAUUGAGUGAUCUGAAACGAUUUGAUGUCAGCAAGAAUUCCCCAUACAGCUCACAGCCCUACCCCGAGCACGCCUCCCUCUUGGGUAUGCUCUCUGCAGGCCCAAACCUUGCAGAAGCCAUUCCAUGUUUCCUGAGCAGGAAAAGACAAACUCAGACCGACAACCUUGGACUUCAAAAGACUGCACACAAGGGGAGGAAGGACUGAGAGUACCAAGGCGUGAGAAUUCAGAAUGCUGCUAUCUCAUUUAUUUUUACCAUUUAGGAAACGUUUUGAUCUGCAUUCCUUUUCCCUUCCCUGAUUUCAAAAAAUAAAAAUAAAAAUGCUUCGGUUCUGAGGAGUAACUCUCCA
RNAcentral lists this long non-coding RNA (1496 nucleotides) under Homo sapiens (human). Its description in RNAcentral is "non-protein coding LINC02029:14". Lineage: Eukaryota; Metazoa; Chordata; Mammalia; Primates; Hominidae. The record is from RNAcentral.